Molecule: ribosomal RNA, 427 nt
Filed under: uncultured bacterium
Lineage: Bacteria
Description: partial 16S ribosomal RNA
Rfam family: Bacterial small subunit ribosomal RNA
Source: RNAcentral
UAGGGAAUCUUCCGCAAUGGGCGAAAGCCUGACGGAGCAACGCCGCGUGAGUGAUGAAGGUCUUCGGAUCGUAAAACUCUGUUAUCAGGGAAGAACAAAUGUGUAAGUAACUGUGCACAUCUUGACGGUACCUGAUCAGAAAGCCACGGCUAACUACGUGCCAGCAGCCGCGGUAAUACGUAGGUGGCAAGCGUUAUCCGGAAUUAUUGGGCGUAGAGCGCGCGUAGGCGGUUUUUUAAGUCUGAUGUGAAAGCCCACGGCUCAACCGUGGAGGGUCAUUGGAAACUGGAAAACUUGAGUGCAGAAGAGGAAAGUGGAAUUCCAUGUGUAGCGGUGAAAUGCGCAGAGAUAUGGAGGAACACCAGUGGCGAAGGCGACUUUCUGGUCUGUAACUGACGCUGAUGUGCGAAAGCGUGGGGAUCAAACA